RNAcentral lists this ribosomal RNA (794 nucleotides) under uncultured archaeon. RNAcentral describes it as "bacterial SSU rRNA". It matches the Rfam family "Archaeal small subunit ribosomal RNA", at positions 85 to 879 of the family's 1478-position model. The record is from RNAcentral.
ACUGCUCAGUAACACGUAGCUAAUCUGCCCUUAGGUGAAGGAUAACCACGGGAAACUGUGGAUAACACUUCAUAGAAGAUUUGGCCUGGAAGGGUAUUUCUUUGAAAACUUCGGUGCCUAAGGAUGAGGCUGCGCCUGAUUAGCUUGUUGGUGGGGUAACUGCCUACCAAGGCAAUGAUCAGUACGGGCUCUUAGCGGAGUUGCCCGGAGACGGAAUCUGAGACACUAUUCCGAGCUCUACGGAGUGCAGCAGUCGCGAAUCAUUUACAAUGCACGCAAGUGUGAUAAUGCGAACCAAAGUGCUUUCCUUAUAGGAAAGCUUUUCCUUACUGUAAAAAUGUAGGGGAAUAAGGACUGGGAAAGACCGGUGCCAGCCGCCGCGGUAAUACCGGCAGUCCAAGUAGCAUCCAGUUUUAUUGGGUCUAAAACAUCCGUAGCUUGUUAUUUAAGUCUCUUGUGAAAUCCUAUGUCUCAAGCAUAGGGCUUGCAGGAGAUACUGAAUAGCUAGAGAUCGGUAGGCGUAAGGAGUACGCCGGAGGUAGUGGUUAAAUACGUUAAUCUUCGGUGGACUAACAAUUUAGCGAAGGCACCUUACGAGGACGAAUCUGACAGUGAGGGAUGAAGGCCAGGGGCGCAAAACGGAUUAGAUACCCGUGUAGUCCUGGCAGUAAACACUGCUCACUAAACAUCGGGCCCUCUUCGGGAGGAUUCGGUGCUGAAGCGAAGGCGAAGAGUGAGCUACCUGGGAAGUAUAGUCGCAAGAUCGAAACUUAAAGGAAUUGGCGGGGGAGCAC